Molecule: ribosomal RNA, 459 nt
Filed under: uncultured bacterium
Lineage: Bacteria
Description: partial 16S ribosomal RNA
Rfam family: Bacterial small subunit ribosomal RNA
Source: RNAcentral
AACGAACGCUGGCGGCAGGCUUAACACAUGCAAGUCGAACGCGAAAUCACCUUCGGGUGGUGGAGAGUGGCAGACGGGUGAGUAACGCGUGGGAACCUACCUAGUGGUACGGAAUAACUCAGGGAAACUUGGGCUAAUACCGUAUGUGCCCGAAAGGGGAAAGAUUCAUCGCCACUAGAUGGGCCCGCGUCGGAUUAGCUUGUUGGGGAGGUAACGGCUCACCAAGGCGACGAUCCGUAGCUGGUCUGAGAGGAUGAUCAGCCACACUGGGACUGAGACACGGCCCAGACUCCUACGGGAGGCAGCAGUGGGGAAUAUUGGACAAUGGGCGCAAGCCUGAUCCAGCCAUGCCGCGUGAGUGAUGAAGGCCCUAGGGUUGUAAAGCUCUUUCGGCGGGGACGAUAAUGACGGUACCCGCAGCAGAAGCCCCGGCUAACUUCGUGCCAGCCGCCGCCGUAA